This is a non-coding RNA of Oryctolagus cuniculus (rabbit), 2173 nucleotides long. Lineage: Eukaryota; Metazoa; Chordata; Mammalia; Lagomorpha; Leporidae. The record is from RefSeq and is a predicted model, not a curated record.
UCUUAGUGACACGCGCGCGCCCGUUCGGCCAGAUGUGGGUCCGGGGCGUUGCCGGCGGCGCGAGGAGUUGGGCUCCGAGGCCGGGGCUCCUGCCCUGGCAGGGCCCCUGGAGCUGCUUCUGGAAGACCGGAGGGGCAUCUGGAAGGGACUCCGAGCGUCGCCUCUCGGAUGUGCGGGUUUUCCCAGCGCCAGGUGCAGGGCUUGGAAGGGCGCAGUGAGCUCCAGGAAAACGAAUGAGGCUUAGAAGAGGAAAAGGUUGACAGAAUGCAGAUUCACAGGCCCCAUACCCAGCGACGCCGGCUGAGCAGAGUCUGAGAGACUGUGCUUGUCUACGGCCACACCACGCUGAACACACCCGACCUUCUGAUCUCAGGAGCUAAGCAGGGUCGGUCCUGGUUAUUGCUUGGACGGGAGAGGCUGUCUCAGGUGGUCAGAUGUUCUAGUGGGGAGGAGGCUGCUUAAUGAAGGCCUGCAGGCCUUCCUGGGGACAUCCUGACACCCCGUGGGGACCAGGCCAGUGCCACCAAGCAGGAAGGUCAGGAAGGACGAUGGCUCUGGGAGGCAAACCCUGGAUGCAGCAUUGAUGGUGAGAUCUUCAUAACCCCUCCCCCCUUAUCUUUGGGGCUCAGCCCCAUCUGGUCAACUGGACUAAAAUACACCACCUGCCGCGUGAGACCUCGCUCUCUAAACAUUUCAAAGGGGCUCAUACCCAUUUGGCUUUUGGAACCAGGGGACUGCAGGGAACUCCCUGAAUUCACACUGGCUCUGUUUCUAAGUAGCCACACGUCUGUUGGAUUUCUUGCCAAGUGAGGAAAACCUGCAACUGUCUUCAGAUGCAAUGAAACCUCCUUAAGCAUCGAGUGAAUGAUUGCAAUGGAUGCACACUGAUUCUGUAGGCAUUCCAGCGAACAUUUCCUCGUUUGGAAGCUUCCCUCUGGAGCCAGUCAUGGUCUCCCCAGUCUAAGAAGACCCUCAUAAAGUCCAUAGGCCCGCAGUGCCCUGGGUGAAAUCUCAGCCUGAGGCCAAGCCCCCCCAGCACAGGCAGAGGCACCUGCAGGAAGCAGAGAGGAAAAUGCCAGCGCCAAAGAGGCCAGCAGCCCAGGAAGUUGGAGCGACUUCCAAGUCCAGCGCCAUCCCAGGGCCCCUUGCUCAGGUCCUGGGCACGGGUGACAUUGGUGCAGCAUGCACUCACAUGUGCCAGGCCUCGGGGAAGUACUGUGUCUGCAGCAGUCCAUUUAAGCCUGGAAACAACCUCAUGAGGCAGGUACCAUUACUGUUAUUUCUAAUACCAUUCCCAUAUUACCAUGAAAAUUCUUUUUUUCUUAAAGAUUUAUUCACUCAUGUGAAAGAGCUACAGAGAGAGAGGGAGAGACAAAGAGAAAGAGAUCUUCCAUCUGCUGGUUCACUCCCCAGAUGGCUCCAAUGGCCAGGGCUUGGCCAGGCAAGAGCCAGGAGCUUCUUCUGGGUCUCCCAUAUGGGUUCAGGGGUCCAAGCACUUGGGCCAUCUUCUGCUGCUUUCCCAGGCCAUAGCAGAGAGCUGGCUCAGAAGUGGGGCAACCAGGAGUCAAAUCGGUGCCCAUUCAGGAUGCUGGCACUGCAGGCAGCAGCUUUACCCGCUGUACCACGAUACUGGCCUCACCAUGAAAAUUCUGUCUUAGGGAUGCUAAGUCACUUCCUAGGAGCUGAGGAGCGAGGGGUGCAAUGCCUCCAUGCCCCCCGAGACCCCUGCUGCGGGCGGGGAAGGGCUCCUCUCCACCAGCCCCUGCCUGUUCCCUGGAAGCCAGCCCAGGAGUUCCGCCGCCAACCAACACAGAGUAGACUUAAAACAGCCAGAAUCGAAAUUAACAGGCGAGGCUCAAGUGGAUGCACGACCCCAGCGUCCUCCUCCCCUCGUGGAGGGCUUAAAUGGCCUUGACUUGGCAGAAAAGCCUUUCUAAGAACGUUACAAAGACCAGAGAAUCACACAGGGGAAGUGUGAUAAAUACGACUCCAUAAAAAUGUGAAACUGCAGAGAAGAGACGCCUGUGUGGACCAGCGUUGCUGCAGACCUAGUUUUGUAAAACUUUGUCAAACCAGUGGUUAAGACUGUUAUGCUACUAGAGUUUUAGUGAUCUGUGAUUGCUUUAAAAUUUACUGGGUGAAAAUAAAAAAGAAAGUUAUCUCCUCAAAAAAA